AAACUUGAGAGUUUGAUCAUGGCUCAGAACGUACGCUGGCGGCACGCCUAACACAUGCAAGUCGAACGAAGUAGCAAUACUUAGUGGCAGACGGGUGAGUAACAUGUAGGUAUCUGCCCUUUGGCCUGGAAUAACACGAGGAAACUUGUGCUAAUACCGGAUAAGUCUUUACGGAGAAAGCUUUAUGCACCAUUGGAUGAGCCUGCACUUGAUUAGUUUGUUGGUGGGGUAAUGGCCUACCAAGACUGUGAUCAAUAGCUGAUUUGAGAGGAUGAUCAGCCACAUUGGGACUGAGACACGGCCCAAACUCCUACGGGAGGCAGCAGUGGGGAAUCUUGCACAAUGGAGGAAACUCUGAUGCAGCGAUGCCGCGUGAGUGAAGAAGGCCUUUGGGUUGUAAAGCUCUUUCGUCGGGGAAGAAAAUGACUGUACCCGAAUAAGAAGGUCCGGCUAACUUCGUGCCAGCAGCCGCGGUAAUACGAAGGGACCUAGCGUAGUUCGGAAUUACUGGGCUUAAAGAGUUCGUAGGUGGUUGAAAUAGUUGGUGGUGAAAUCCCAGAGCUUAACUCUGGAACUGCCAUCAAAACUUUUCAGCUAGAGUAUGAUAGAGGAAAGCAGAAUUUCUAGUGUAGAGGUGAAAUUCGUAGAUAUUAGAAAGAAUACCAAUUGCGAAGGCAGCUUUCUGGAUCAUUACUGACACUGAGGAACGAAAGCAUGGGUAGCGAAGAGGAUUAGAUACCCUCGUAGUCCAUGCCGUAAACGAUGUGUGUUAGACGUUGGAAAUUUAUUUUCAGUGUCGCAGGGAAACCGAUAAACACACCGCCUGGGGAGUACGACCGCAAGGUUAAAACUCAAAUGAAUUGACGGGGACCCGCACAAGUAGUGGAGCAUGUGGUUUAAUUCGAAGAUACGCGCAGAACCUUACCAACACUUGACAUGUUCGUCGCGACUCUAAGAGAUUAGAGUUUUCGGUUCGGCCGGACGAAACACAGGUGCUGCAUGGCUGUCGUCAGCUCGUGUCGUGAGAUGUUGGGUUAAGUCCCGCAACGAGCGCAACCCUCACUUUUAGUUGCCAUCAUUAAGUUGGGCACUCUGAAAGAACUGCCAGUGAUAAGCUGGAGGAAGGUGGGGAUGACGUCAAGUCCUCAUGGCCCUUACGUGUUGGGCUACACACGUGCUACAAUGGUAUCUACAACAGGAAGCAAGACUGCGAAGUUAAGCAAAUCCCUAAAAGAUACCUCAGUUCGGAUUGCACUCUGCAACUCGAGUGCAUGAAGCUGGAAUUACUAGUAAUCGUAGAUCAGCGUGCUACGGUGAAUGCGUUCCCGGGUCUUGUACACACCGCCCGUCACACCAUGGGAGUUGGUUCUACCUUAAGGCAAGGUUUCAAACCCUUGACCACGGUAUAGUCAGCGACUGGGGUGAAGUCGUAACAAGGUAGCCGUAGGGGAACCUGCGGCUGGAUUACCUCCUUU
RNAcentral lists this ribosomal RNA (1475 nucleotides) under Candidatus Pelagibacter sp. Its description in RNAcentral is "bacterial SSU rRNA". It matches the Rfam family "Bacterial small subunit ribosomal RNA". The record is from RNAcentral. Lineage: Bacteria; Pseudomonadati; Pseudomonadota; Alphaproteobacteria; Candidatus Pelagibacterales; Candidatus Pelagibacteraceae.